RNAcentral lists this ribosomal RNA (253 nucleotides) under uncultured bacterium. RNAcentral's name for it is "partial 16S ribosomal RNA". It matches the Rfam family "Bacterial small subunit ribosomal RNA", at positions 524 to 776 of the family's 1533-position model. The record is from RNAcentral.
UACAGAGGUCUCAAGCGUUGUUCGGAUUCAUUGGGCGUAAAGGGCGCGUAGGCGGCGGGGUAAGUCGGGUGUGAAAUCUCAGGGCUCAACCCUGAAACUGCACUCGAUACUGCCGUGCUUGAGGACUGGAGAGGAGACUGGAAUUUACGGUGUAGCGGUGAAAUGCGUAGAUAUCGGAAGGAAGACCAGUGGCGAAGGCGGGUCUCUGGACAGUUCCUGACGCUGAGGCACGAAGGUCAGGGGAGCAAACGGG